RNAcentral lists this long non-coding RNA (299 nucleotides) under Homo sapiens (human). Its description in RNAcentral is "non-protein coding lnc-ZNF32-6:1". The record is from RNAcentral. Lineage: Eukaryota; Metazoa; Chordata; Mammalia; Primates; Hominidae.
GUAUAAUUUCAUAAGGACAUAAUGGAUGGAGAGGAGAAAACCUAUGGUGGCUAUUAAGGCCCUGAUGCCACAUAUGUCAAAUGGAUAUCUUCUGAUGGUCAUGAAUUUGUUGUAAAAAGACAACAUGCAUUAACAUCAGGCGUGAUAAAAGCCAUGCUGAGUGGCCCAAGUCAACAUGGCUUGAGAAUGAAACCAGUGAGUUAAUUUUAGAGAGAUCCCUUAACAUGCUAUCAAAAAUAUUUGUGUAUUUUACCUAUAAAGUUUCGCUACACUAACAGCUCCACCGAGAUUCCUGAAUU